This 320-nucleotide small nuclear RNA is filed under the name Octodon degus (degu). Its description in RNAcentral is "7SK RNA (ENSODEG00000022986.1)". It matches the Rfam family "7SK RNA". Rfam says of the family: 7SK was discovered as an abundant small nuclear RNA in the mid-70s but a possible function has only recently been suggested. Two independent studies have found that 7SK RNA binds the CDK9/cyclin T complex (known as elongation factor P-TEFb). The record is from RNAcentral. Lineage: Eukaryota; Metazoa; Chordata; Mammalia; Rodentia; Octodontidae.
UGAUGUGAGAGUGAUUUGGCUGCAACUUCUGUCACCCUACAGAUCUCCAGGGUAGAUUCAGCUGAUCUGGCUGGCUAGGCUGAUGUCGCUUCCCCUCUCAUUGCUCCAUGUAUAUCCCACCUGAUGCUGGGGGCCCAGGCAAAGAAGAUGACCACGCCCAUAGAGAAGAACCAUUCCUCAGUCAAGGGUGUAUGAGUAGCAGUUCUCUCCUGCUAGAACCUCCCAGAAGCUCUUAAAAAUGCAUAUGAUGAUCAGUUGAUCAGUACUGAAUAGCUUUUUGGUUUGUUUGUUUUUCAUUUAAUAAGACAGUGUCUUGCUAU